UACGGGGGGGGCAAGCGUUGUUCGGAAUUACUGGGCGUAAAGCGUGCGUAGACGGUUAUAUAAGUCGGGUGUGAAAGCCCCGGGCUCAACCUGGGAAUUGCAUUCGAGACUGCAUAGCUAGGGUGCGGAAGAGGGAAGCGGAAUUUCCGGUGUAGCGGUGAAAUGCGUAGAUAUCGGAAGGAACAUCAGUGGCGAAAGCGGCUUCCUGGUCCAGCACCGACGUUCAGGCACGAAAGCGUGGGGAGCAAACAGG
Molecule: ribosomal RNA, 253 nt
Filed under: uncultured bacterium
Lineage: Bacteria
Description: partial 16S ribosomal RNA
Rfam family: Bacterial small subunit ribosomal RNA
Source: RNAcentral